This 555-nucleotide long non-coding RNA is filed under the name Vigna radiata. RNAcentral's name for it is "long non-coding RNA (VRAD_LNC000550)". The record is from RNAcentral. Lineage: Eukaryota; Viridiplantae; Streptophyta; Magnoliopsida; Fabales; Fabaceae.
AUGAACAUAAGCACUUAUCUCAUAAACUCAAUUAAAACAAUCAUCCUAUCAUGUAAAGACUCUUAGACACGUCCGAACAUAGAAUGAAUGUAGAGCUGGGGCGGGUUGUGCACUUGUGAUGGCCCCUACUGCUUUGCAAAGCCAUUGCCGAGGGGUUCCACCCGACCAUACACAAGGCUAGUCCGUUACCGCAGUAUAGACCUCCAGUGAUAGCGUCUACCCUAGGACCUCCCACUACUCCCACCACACGCGUCAAUCCUCUCUAAGUGAGAAUGAAAGACCGUUGGAGUGUUAGGGAUAACCCCCCCAUAUGGAAGCCUCUCACCAUUCAUUCAAUACACUAACUGAUCUCACCGAGAGACCGUAAUUCCAUAACCAAAUCCAACCACUUUAAUCAAAUGAUAUACCUCUUGAAUCAAUAAUGUACUAUACAUUAACUCAUCAAACGUAAGGUUUUUCCACACCAUAUAAAACGUUUCGACUUCAUAUAAAAUACCACUACAAGACAUAAAAAUAUUCAACUUUCAUUAUUUAUUUUAUAUACCUAAUAACCCC